RNAcentral lists this small RNA (115 nucleotides) under Chrysemys picta bellii (western painted turtle). RNAcentral's name for it is "TUC338 (ENSCPBG00000003819.1)". The record is from RNAcentral. Lineage: Eukaryota; Metazoa; Chordata; Testudines; Emydidae.
UGCUUUAUUUACCCACAGAACAGGGAUAGCAGGGCCAGGAGCAGUGCAGACUUCCCCAUACUGCCCCUCGUAUUUUACAUGACCAUCAAAGACCACAUUCAGGUAGCAAGGCAAC